Molecule: ribosomal RNA, 253 nt
Filed under: uncultured bacterium
Lineage: Bacteria
Description: partial 16S ribosomal RNA
Rfam family: Bacterial small subunit ribosomal RNA
Source: RNAcentral
UACGGAGGGGACUAGCGUUGUUCGGAAUUACUGGGCGUAAAGCGCACGUAGGCGGACCAGAAAGUUGGGGGUGAAAUCCCGGGGCUCAACCUCGGAACUGCCUUCAAAACUAUUGGUCUGGAGUUCGAGAGAGGUGAGUGGAAUUCCGAAUGUAGAGGUGAAAUUCGUAGAUAUUCGGAGGAACACCAGUGGCGAAGGCGGCUCACUGGCUCGAUACUGACGCUGAGGUGCGAAAGCGUGGGGAGCAAACAGG